This 468-nucleotide ribosomal RNA is filed under the name uncultured bacterium. RNAcentral's name for it is "partial 16S ribosomal RNA". It matches the Rfam family "Bacterial small subunit ribosomal RNA", at positions 28 to 507 of the family's 1533-position model. The record is from RNAcentral.
GACGAACGCUGGCGGCGUGCUUAACACAUGCAAGUCGAACGGUGAAGCUCCAGCUUGCUGGAGUGGAUCAGUGGCGAACGGGUGAGUAACACGUGAGCAACCUGCCCCUGACUCUGGAAUAAGCGCUGGAAACGGCGUCUAAUACUGGAUACGAGAAGGGCCCGCAUGGGCACUUUCUGGAAAGUUUUUCGGUUGGGGAUGGGCUCGCGGCCUAUCAGCUUGUUGGUGAGGUAAUGGCUCACCAAGGCGACGACGGGUAGCCGGCCUGAGAGGGCGACCGGCCACACUGGGACUGAGACACGGCCCAGACUCCUACGGGAGGCAGCAGUGGGGAAUAUUGCACAAUGGGCGAAAGCCUGAUGCAGCGACGCCGCGUGAGGGAUGACGGCCUUCGGGUUGUAAACCCCUUUCAGCAGGGAAGAAGCGAAAGUGACGGUACCUGCAGAAGAAGCACCGGCUAACUACGUG